RNAcentral lists this ribosomal RNA (279 nucleotides) under uncultured bacterium. RNAcentral's name for it is "partial 16S ribosomal RNA". It matches the Rfam family "Bacterial small subunit ribosomal RNA", at positions 506 to 784 of the family's 1533-position model. The record is from RNAcentral.
UGCCAGCCGCCGCGGUAAUACGGAGGGGGUUAGCGUUGUUCGGAAUUACUGGGCGUAAAGCGCACGUAGGCGGAUCAGAAAGUUAGGGGUGAAAUCCCGGGGCUUAACCCCGGAACUGCCUCUAAAACUGGUAAGCUAGAGGAUGUGAGAGGAGUGUGGAAUUCCGAGUGUAGAGGUGAAAUUCGUAGAUAUCGGGAGGAAUACCGGUGGCGAAGGCGACCACCUGGCCAAAUACUGACGCUGAGGUGCGAAAGCGUGGGGAGCAAACAGGAUUAGAUA